UAGGGAAUCUUCCACAAUGGACGCAAGUCUGAUGGAGCAACGCCGCGUGAGUGAAGAAGGCUUUCGGGUCGUAAAACUCUGUUGUUGGAGAAGAAUGGUCGGCAGAGUAACUGUUGUCGGCGUGACGGUAUCCAACCAGAAAGCCACGGCUAACUACGUGCCAGCAGCCGCGGUAAUACGUAGGUGGCAAGCGUUAUCCGGAUUUAUUGGGCGUAAAGAGCUUGUAGGCGGUUUGUCGCGUCUGCUGUGAAAGGCCGGGGCUUAACCCCGUGUAUUGCAGUGGGUACGGGCAGACUAGAGUGCAGUAGGGGAGACUGGAACUCCUGGUGUAGCGGUGGAAUGCGCAGAUAUCAGGAAGAACACCGAUGGCGAAGGCAGGUCUCUGGGCUGUAACUGACGCUGAGAAGCGAAAGCAUGGGGAGCGAACAGGAUUAGAUACCCUGGUAGUCCAUGCCGUAAACGUUGGGCACUAGGUGUGGGGGACAUUCCACGUUUUCCGCGCCGUAGCUAACGCAUUAAGUGCCCCGCCUGGGGAGUACGGCCGCAAGGCUA
This 552-nucleotide ribosomal RNA is filed under the name uncultured bacterium. RNAcentral describes it as "bacterial SSU rRNA". It matches the Rfam family "Bacterial small subunit ribosomal RNA", at positions 355 to 896 of the family's 1533-position model. The record is from RNAcentral.